AUGAACGCUGGCGGCGUGCCUAAUACAUGCCAGUCGCGCGAACAGACGAGGAGCUUGCUCCUCUGACGUUAGCGGCGGCCGGGUGAGUAACACGUGGAUAACCUACCUAUAAGACUGGGAUAACUUCGGGAAACCGGAGCUAAUACCGGAUAAUAUAUUGAACCGCAUGGUUCGAUAGUGAAAGACGGUUUUGCUGUCACUUAUAGAUGGAUCCGCGCCGCAUUAGCUAGUUGGUAAGGUAACGGCUUACCAAGGCAACGAUGCGUAGCCGACCUGAGAGGGUGAUCGGCCACACUGGAGCUGAGACACGGUCCAGACUCCUACGGGAGGCAGCAGUAGGGAAUCUUCCGCAAUGGUCGAAAGCCUGACGGAGCAACGCCGCGUGAGUGAUGAAGGUCUUCGGAUCGUAAAACUCUGUUAUUAGGGAAGAACAAAUGUGUAAGUAACUAUGCACGUCUUGACGGUACCUAAUCAGAAAGCCACGGCUAACUACGUG
Molecule: ribosomal RNA, 496 nt
Filed under: uncultured bacterium
Lineage: Bacteria
Description: partial 16S ribosomal RNA
Rfam family: Bacterial small subunit ribosomal RNA
Source: RNAcentral